Molecule: ribosomal RNA, 253 nt
Filed under: uncultured bacterium
Lineage: Bacteria
Description: partial 16S ribosomal RNA
Rfam family: Bacterial small subunit ribosomal RNA
Source: RNAcentral
UACGAAGGGGGCUAGCGUUGCUCGGAAUCACUGGGCGUAAAGCGCACGUAGGCGGCCUCUUAAGUCGGUGGUGAAAUCCUGGAGCUCAACUCCAGAACUGCCUUCGAUACUGGGAGUCUCGAGUCCGGGAGAGGUGAGUGGAACUGCGAGUGUAGAGGUGAAAUUCGUAGAUAUUCGCAAGAACACCAGUGGCGAAGGCGGCUCACUGGCCCGGUACUGACGCUGAGGUGCGAAAGCCAGGGGAGCAAACGGG